This 23-nucleotide small nuclear RNA is filed under the name Arabidopsis thaliana (thale cress). RNAcentral describes it as "snRNA_14484". The record is from RNAcentral. Lineage: Eukaryota; Viridiplantae; Streptophyta; Magnoliopsida; Brassicales; Brassicaceae.
AAUCUGAACGUCAUCAACUAUGG